Crotalus tigris (Tiger rattlesnake) is the source of this 497-nucleotide long non-coding RNA. RefSeq lists it as uncharacterized. The transcript is spliced from 3 exons. NCBI's taxonomy places the organism in Eukaryota, Metazoa, Chordata, Lepidosauria, Squamata, Viperidae. The record is from RefSeq and is a predicted model, not a curated record.
UUCCAUCCCGGGGAGGUCGGUGUGUAAGACAGUGGAGGACUACUGCGCAUGUGUGACUGGAAGUUGGCAGGCCCUAGGAGUAGGUAACCCAAAACACUCGAAGAGCCACUUGGACCCAUUUACAACGGAAAACAUCUUUUAUGACUCAUGGACUUCUACUCCCAGAAUUCCUGAGUCAGCAUAGCUGGGCUAGCUAGCUCUCUCCUGCCCUUCCUGCUUCCUGCAGAGACGCAGCAAAAGGAGGAGUGCCAUCCAGUAAGCUUUUUAGCUCAUCGGAGAACACUCUGUGCUUUUUAGGAUUGAGAGAACAGAGGGCGACUUGGGCUUCUACUGGAUUACAAGUCCCAUCAGCCACCUCUGGGGUGCUGAUGGGGAUCGUCCCUUCUUCCAACAGAGAACUUUAUCUUGUUGAGCAGGAAAAUGCUUAAAAUGCUGUUUUAAAAAAAACUGAAAAUUUUAUAAAUGCAAAAUAAAAUAAAGAUUACAUGCAGAAUUUA